RNAcentral lists this ribosomal RNA (167 nucleotides) under uncultured bacterium. RNAcentral's name for it is "partial 16S ribosomal RNA". It matches the Rfam family "Bacterial small subunit ribosomal RNA", at positions 1334 to 1500 of the family's 1533-position model. The record is from RNAcentral.
GCUAGUAAUCGUGGAUCAGCAUGCCACGGUGAAUACGUUCCCGGGUCUUGUACACACCGCCCGUCACACCAUGGGAGCCGGUAAUACCCGAAGUCAGUAGUCUAACCGCAGGGAGGACGCUGCCGAAGGUAGGAUUGGCGACUGGGGUGAAGUCGUAACAAGGUAUC